CCUCUGCUGCCUCAUAUGCUAUCUGCUCCAAACCGCGAGUAAAACUGCUGCCAUCCACGGGGUAAGACAUGAAAAUAAUGUUCCAAACUGAGUUGUAGUAAUUUUUGAUGUUGAGCACUGGUUGACCGGUAUACUGUUAACAUUUCAACUUUGUAGAGCUCCGUGAGAUCGGACGAUUUCCGCCGACCUGGCGAGGGUAAAUGGUGAAACUGCUCCUAGCUUGAUAACUUAGUCAGGUUUUUUGUUUUGUUUUUUUCCCCUGUGACAUCAGUAAAUGACGUCCCAUCCACAUCCCACCGUCCAGUGGAGAGCUGCCAGCUGGGUUUUCGUGUGAAGUUUCAGAGAUCCCGAGAUACCCAGCGUGAGCUGGGUGGCGAGCCGCAUCGAAACGACUGAUACUGAACUCAGAGUGGAGAAGGAUUCUUUCAUUCCCCCUUCCUCACGGACUGUGUGGUUGGACAGAACAAACAUACACUGAUACACUUGACAGGGAGCCGAAGGAAAAGAAGGGCCCCAACAGUAACUUUGGGACACAAAGGGUUUUAUUUUGUUAUUAGUUAUUUUUCAUUGAAUGCCUUGCAACUAUCUGUAUUUUCAUUGUGUUAUUGGUUAUUAAUAACAAGUGGCCACACAAAAAACUCAAACCAUUGUCUGUGUCUUUUAACUUCACCAACAACAAGGGCUCUAAGUAGCUUAUAGUCUUCAAUUACUGGUCCAUGUCUUAGCAUUGACUAUUACUUACCUGUGCUGUUAUAACAUGGUAAUAAGGGUUACAUAAAGAACAAACGGAAACGUGUCUCCUGCCUUGAGUAAAGUGAACUGUGUGCCUUAAAGGUGAAUUUGGUUGAAACUUCCUGGGGUGAAAUCCCCCAGGUGGCUUAGUGUAUAAUCUGACUUUAGUGUAUAAUCUGACCAGAAACUCUUAUACUUCAUCACCCCCGUCUCGCCACAUAUGGAUGAGAGAAAUUACAAAGUUUUUGCCAGAUUUGAGGAGUCAGACUGAUUAAUCACUGUGGACCCAUGCAGCGGUCUUAACAAAAUCUUGCUGUGAAGAUAAAUUUAAGUGCAAAGCUUCACAGUAAACUGGGUUUAAAAUUAUUUAUACUUUGAAUGUUUUAUUAUUUGGGUUUAAAGAGAGAACAUGCAACAUUGUUUGUGGUCUGUAAUAAAGGUUAAUAAAAAAGCA
Long non-coding RNA from Chelmon rostratus (copperband butterflyfish), 1186 nucleotides. RefSeq lists it as uncharacterized. The record is from RefSeq and is a predicted model, not a curated record. NCBI's taxonomy places the organism in Eukaryota, Metazoa, Chordata, Actinopteri, Chaetodontiformes, Chaetodontidae. The transcript is spliced from 2 exons.